RNAcentral lists this ribosomal RNA (429 nucleotides) under Pseudomonadota bacterium. Its description in RNAcentral is "Proteobacteria bacterium partial 16S ribosomal RNA". It matches the Rfam family "Bacterial small subunit ribosomal RNA", at positions 355 to 776 of the family's 1533-position model. The record is from RNAcentral. Lineage: Bacteria; Pseudomonadati; Pseudomonadota.
UGGGGAAUAUUGGACAAUGGGCGAAAGCCUGAUCCAGCCAUGCCGCGUGUGUGAAGAAGGUCUUCGGAUUGUAAAGCACUUUAAGUUGGGAGGAAGGGCAGUAAGCGAAUACCUUGCUGUUUUGACGUUACCGACAGAAUAAGCACCGGCUAACUCUGUGCCAGCAGCCGCGGUAAUACAGAGGGUGCAAGCGUUAAUCGGAAUUACUGGGCGUAAAGCGCGCGUAGGUGGUUCGUUAAGUUGAAUGUGAAAGCCCCGGGCUCAACCUAGGAACUGCAUCCAUAACUGGCGAGCUAGAGUAGGGCAGCGGGGGGUGCAAUUUCCUGUAUAGCGGAGAAAUGCGUAGAUAUAGGAAGGAACACCAGUGGCGAAGGCGACCACCUGGGCUCAUACUGACACUGAGGUGCGAAAGCGUGGGGAGCAAACAGG